CGGAUGUUGUACACUUUACAGCUUGAAGUUCUUCCGCUUUCAUUCACCCGCCAGCUACUUCAAAGCAAGCGAACUAACGAGUAAAUGUUUGUUUUUACAUUCGGGGUUUCCCUGAUAAGUAUUGAUAUCUAGCAUUCAUUUAAUUGCCGUCAUCAUUUGACGGCAACAAUGUUUCGUGGUUUUCACAAUCCCGGAGAACUUCACCGGGGCCCUGCUCCCUUAGGCCACCCAUCCCAUGUACAGCCACCCGGUCCCAGCUACGGAGGGCCCUUUGGCCCGCCACCCCACGUUCCACUGCCUGGACACUUUCCUCCUGGAUCUUGUCAUCCUUUCUUACCUCCCGGAUCGGGAAGUGAAUACCUCCACAGGCCAAUGAGGGAACAUUAUAUCAAUACUCCACACUGCAGCAGUUAUUCCAUUGACCGCAGCACAGUGAUCAGUCUGGGUAGUCAACAGAUUCUCCCACCAGACACACAGCAUCUUCAGAUGCCACAGUGGCCCACCAAUCCUUUGGAAUCAUGCCAAAGAGACAAGAGUGAGAACUUGACUGCUGGUGAAGAAUUCCUCAGAUGCCUUGCGGCUAAUAAGCCAGUCCCUGACUUCCUCAAAGGAGUCAACCUGUUGGACGCAGGGAAGGUAGUCAAGGCACCAGGUGUACCAGAAGACCGGGGUUAUGAGAGGCAGAGACUCCGGAGCAAAUCUCGCAGUCCAGCGAAGGAAAGCAGGGGCAGGAGCAAGAGCCGAGCAAAGAGCCAGGUAAGAAGCAAGAGCCGGGCAAGAAGCAAGAGCUGUCCGCGCAGCAGAAGUCGUACCCGAGGGAAAAGCCGGGCAAGAAGCAGGAGUCGCAGUCGUGGAAAGAGCCAGGUCAGAAGCAAGAGCAAGGCUCGUAGUAGGAGCCGGAGCCGAGGGAAAAGUCGGGCAAGGAGCAAAAGCAGAUCAAGGAGUAGGAGUCGCAGCUAUGGAAAGAGCCGGGGCAGGUUGGACCAUCAUUCAGACCACAGGGACAAAAGGAGCCCCAUUCGGAGCAGUAGCAGCAGGAUCAGUAAUCACUCCUCCGCACACAAUGACCUGCUCGAGGGCCUGAAACGGGUUAUGAACAGCAAGCAACUGGAGGACAGUAUGCCUUCCAUCAAGAAUGCCAUUCUCACAAUACAGGCCAAUAACUUUAGCAGAGAUAUCCAGAGCAACUGUCUUCCAUGUGGACCAGUCUUGGCCAGCAGACAGGAAUUUCUUCAAGCCUCAGAUGGGCCUAAGCCAGUCAGCAGACAGGAGGAGACCGACAGCAAUCUUCUCCCCCACGAGAGAGUGGGCUGUGACUUCUCCUGGCUGCAGGGCACCAGGGAGGUCGAGGAUGAGGAGAACUUCCUCUAUGGGAAUGAGGAUAACCAGUCAAAACAACGCCCUGCCACCCUGCCUUUUGCACAGUCCACAUCCAUUACCCAGCAGAGCGAUGCAGAGAUCUCCCCAGCAGGCCCACCCUACUAUCAAAGCCAGCCUCUGUUCGGGAACCAUGGUGAAGUCCAGGAGUUCAAGAUGCCUCCUCAACCGGUCCAGUCUAGUGUGAGGCCUGAGCAGAGGGUGCAGCCUGUUCCUGCUCCUGAUGUGAAGCCCACCCCCACUGUGAAGGAAUGUGAGGAGUUCAAGGCCAUGUUGAAGAACAUUGGGCUGAAUCUGGGCACAUCAGAGAUCAGUAAGAUGAUGGUCAAGCUGCAGCAACAGAAGGAGGGGAAGAUGCCAGAGCAGAAGAGGGAGGAGAAAGUGCCAUCACCAGCACCAGUGCUGCCUCUUCCUCUUGUAGUUGGGGCAUCACAGGAGCCCAGACUGGCCUCGCCAGCACCCGGGGCAGCACUCGGGACAGCACCAAUACGACAAGCAUUGGAGUCAUUACAGUUCAUUAUUAAAGCAACAAGGGAGAAAAGGGCCAAUAGUGAUCCACAUGAUGGCAACCAUUCCCAGAGGAAUUCAGACAAACAGAAGAGCAAAGAUGACGAGGAGAGUCAGAGGAGAUCGAGACAGGACCAAAUGAAAAGGAAAGACACUCUUGUGAAGGAACUGGAGGAAUUGCUAAAGCAGGAUGGGUCUACCUUUUUGAUUCCGGUCAUCGGGUUCUACUGUCAGAGGUGUGAGGAGUUCUUCGGAGACCUGACCACUGCUGAGGGCCAUGCUGCAACCCACCGGCGGAAUGAGCCUAGCAUGCAGCAGCAUGGAGACAGACGACCUGGAGAGGACAGAAGACACCCUAGCCAUUACAUCGGGCACCCCCUGGCUCCAGAGCGGAGGGACCAGAGAGACCCAAGAGAUCAGAGGUAUCGCAAACUAGACGAGGGCCCAAAGGGUUACAGGAACGACAGGGAGAAGAUCUACGUGAAAGAGGAACGACCUGGAAGCCCCAGGAUAAAGAUGACGGUGGUCCGCGGGCACACCCCACCAGGUCUGCAGAAGGCCAGGGGGAGAGAGGAGGGGAGGGUGGAUAAGGGCUCUUGUGCUGCUUCCUCUGGCCCUGCCAGUGGGAAAUAUGAUAGGGUCAAACUGGAGGAGGUGGAGACCAAAGGAAAGCCCAACGUGGAAGUAUGUGACAAAGAUAAAGGAGAAAGCAGUUCUAGCAGUGAUGACGAGAAAGACAAAUCUCCUAAAGGCAACAAAAAGAAAAAGAAGAAGGAGAAGAAGAAGAAGAAGAAGAAGAAGCAAAGGGGUUAGAAGUAAUAGCUGCUGUACUGCAUGUCCUGGUUUGAUUGUACUGUAUCUCUGGAGGACCUGGCCUUGGGUCAUUGUUUGGCAUCAUUGCAGCUGUUUUCAGAAGUUGGUGCUUUUAACAUUAGAAAGAAGCAGUGUUCCUCUGAUUUGUUCUCUCCUUUUGGGGUUGUCUUUUUUUUCCAACAAACUGUGUUCCUCUGUUGUAGUGGAUAACAGGACAUUUUCAUUGAAUGCUGUUGGAGGACAGGACGUUCCAGGGUGCAUAUGCAGCAUUUAUGAUGUCCAGAAUCAUUUUGCUGCCAGCUACUGAUCCUAUUGUUCAGACCUUUAGUUACUGUAGAUGUGCAUUAAAUAACCCUCCUUAUAUUGGGCCAUGUUUGUGUAUAUUUCACCCAGUACAACCUUGAUUUAGUGCUUCAAGUACUAUCAAAUGUACUUUUGCCAUUUAAAGGUCAACUGCCAUUUGAAGCGUGUGCUGUCUUUCUUCCUAAUGUUAAACCGUUGAGAUGGAAUUAUUCUGUAAUGAAGAAAUUUUUAUACAUUGUCCUCUUAUUUAGGUCUCAGCAAUUG
RNAcentral lists this long non-coding RNA (3264 nucleotides) under Salmo salar (Atlantic salmon). RNAcentral's name for it is "lncRNA (ENSSSAG00000055355.2)". Lineage: Eukaryota; Metazoa; Chordata; Actinopteri; Salmoniformes; Salmonidae. The record is from RNAcentral.